RNAcentral lists this ribosomal RNA (301 nucleotides) under uncultured bacterium. RNAcentral describes it as "partial 16S ribosomal RNA". It matches the Rfam family "Bacterial small subunit ribosomal RNA", at positions 509 to 807 of the family's 1533-position model. The record is from RNAcentral.
CAGCCGCCGCGGGAAAACGUAGGUGGCAAGCGUUGUCCGGAAUUAUUGGGCGUAAAGGGCUCGCAGGCGGUUUCUUAAGUCUGACGUGAAAGCCCCCGGCUCAACCGGGGAGGGUCAUUGGAAACUGGGAAACUUGAGUGCAGAAGAGGAGAGUGGAAUUCCACGUGUAGCGGUGAAAUGCGUAGAGAUGUGGAGGAACACCAGUGGCGAAGGCGACUCUCUGGUCUGUAACUGACGCUGAGGAGCGAAAGCGUGGGGAGCGAACAGGAUUAGAUACCCGCGUAGUCCCUGUCUCUUAUAC